GACGAACCUUGCUAACGUUAUUCGGAAUUACUGGGCUUAAAGGGUUUGUAGGCGGCCAUGUAAGUCAGGUGUGAAAUCCCUCGGCUCAACCGAGGAACGGCGCUUGAUACUGCAUGGCUUGAGGGAGACAGGGGUAAGCGGAACUGAUGGUGGAGCGGUGAAAUGCGUUGAUAUCAUCAGGAACACCGGUGGCGAAAGCGGCUUACUGGGUCUCUUCUGACGCUGAGGAACGAAAGCUAGGGUAGCGAACGGG
This 253-nucleotide ribosomal RNA is filed under the name uncultured bacterium. Its description in RNAcentral is "partial 16S ribosomal RNA". It matches the Rfam family "Bacterial small subunit ribosomal RNA", at positions 524 to 776 of the family's 1533-position model. The record is from RNAcentral.